GACGAACGCUGGCGGCGUGCUUAACACAUGCAAGUCGAACGGAAAGGCCCUGCUUUUGUGGGGUGCUCGAGUGGCGAACGGGUGAGUAACACGUGAGUAACCUGCCCUUGACUUUGGGAUAACUUCAGGAAACUGGGGCUAAUACCGGAUAGGAGCUCCUGCUGCAUGGUGGGGGUUGGAAAGUUUCGGCGGUUGGGGAUGGACUCGCGGCUUAUCAGCUUGUUGGUGGGGUAGUGGCUUACCAAGGCUUUGACGGGUAGCCGGCCUGAGAGGGUGACCGGCAACAUUGGGGCGGAGAUGCGGCCGAGACUACUACGGGAGGAAGCAGUGGGGAAUAUUGCACAAGGGGCGGAGGCCGGAUGAAGCAACGCGGCGGGGGGGAUGAGGGCAUUCGGGGUGUAAACAGCUUUUGCCUGUGACGAAGAGUGUGAGACGACAAGGGGUAAAGAAGCCGCGGCUAACCACG
Molecule: ribosomal RNA, 466 nt
Filed under: uncultured bacterium
Lineage: Bacteria
Description: partial 16S ribosomal RNA
Rfam family: Bacterial small subunit ribosomal RNA
Source: RNAcentral